RNAcentral lists this transfer RNA (70 nucleotides) under Cephalophorus natalensis (Natal duiker). Its description in RNAcentral is "Cephalophus natalensis (Natal duiker) tRNA-His". It matches the Rfam family "tRNA". From Rfam's summary of the family: Transfer RNA (tRNA) molecules are approximately 80 nucleotides in length. Their secondary structure includes four short double-helical elements and three loops (D, anti-codon, and T loops). RNAcentral also lists the same sequence under 2 other names. The record is from RNAcentral. Lineage: Eukaryota; Metazoa; Chordata; Mammalia; Artiodactyla; Bovidae.
GUAAAUAUAGUUUAAGAAAAAACAUUAGAUUGUGAAUCUAAUAACAGAAGCUGCCAUCUUCUUAUUUACC